UACGAAGGGGGCUAGCGUUGCUCGGAAUCACUGGGCGUAAAGCGCACGUAGGCGGAUUGUUAAGUCAGGGGUGAAAUCCUGGAGCUCAACUCCAGAACUGCCUUUGAUACUGGCGAUCUCGAGUCCGGGAGAGGUGAGUGGAACUGCGAGUGUAGAGGUGAAAUGUGUUGAUAUCGGAAGGAACGCCGGUGGCGAAAGCGAUCCGCUGGACCUCUUCUGACACUGAGGCGCGAAAGCCAGGGGAGCAAACGGG
This 253-nucleotide ribosomal RNA is filed under the name uncultured bacterium. Its description in RNAcentral is "partial 16S ribosomal RNA". It matches the Rfam family "Bacterial small subunit ribosomal RNA", at positions 524 to 776 of the family's 1533-position model. The record is from RNAcentral.